UCAGCGUGACUGCACUAUCUUUCAUUUUCUGCAAAUUAUUGAACUUGAGAGACAUAGAGAGAGAGAGAACAUUCUCUCUUUCAUCGCCAUUUCUCCUAUUUAUAAUAUUUCUUUUAAGAUUUUACGAUGUUUGAACUUUGAAGAUUUCUCAUUCUGUGUUUUUCACCUCAGUUUUUAAGGUUCUUGCUGAAGCCAAGAUUCUAUUUUCUUCUAUUUCUUUCAGAUUUUCAACAAUGGCAUUCUGAAUCAAGAUAAGUUUGAAGCAAAACAAGGCGCAAGAUUUUUCCUUUCUACCCUUUUUCGUCACAUGAUUGAGGUCAAGAAUCUCCAAAAGAGACGAUGUCGCCCUCCCUCUUCUCCUUUUGUGAGACAGUGAGAGAGAAAGCUGCGAGUGUGCAGGUGUGUGUGUGUGUGAGAGAGAGAGAGAGUGAGAGAGCAUAAAGGGCAACAACAAUCACUUUCCUUGCCCCCCUUUGCUUUAAAGCACACAAAAAUGGAACAAAGCUCAUUUCGCAAACAGGAAAAUGCACUUCUUUAUCUUCCCUAAUCAAUUCUCUCUUCCUUUCUGUUGAGCCCUUUUUUUCUCAAAAUCUGAUCUCUAAUUCUUUCAGCCAAUUUCCCAUCGUUUAGUAGAUAAGCACAAAUGUGGGACUAUUCAUUGUGUAGUCGGCUGCCUUAUGCAUCAUUCCUUUUUCUUGUUACAAUCAUCAAAGUAAAUUAAAGGUACUAAACAACAAAAAGGUGCUGUCUUCACUUGGGAUAUAUUUUUGUCCCAUCAUAUGCUUCCUUUUCUUUCUCCUGUUCAUAAUUUUGGAAGUUUGUGUUUGAGUGAUACUUGAGCUGCAAUGGGCUCUGUUGCAUUUGGUGGCAAAGAUGAGAAUUACAAAUUCGUGAUGGAUGUGGUGUUGUUAAUUAUGCCUCGAUUCCUCGGAAAAUACGGUCUGGCAGGUGGUUAUCCAUAAAAAAGCGAGGCCGUGAGUAUACUUCACCGUUGGUAACUUCAAGGAAGCAGCAUCGUGCAUCGACUAUAGAUGAUACACUCAGAAAAGAGGCUGCUAAGAAAUCCAAACUGAAUAAGAACAUGAAUGAGAGAAAUCAAUUAUGCAUUCUUCGCAUUCUUACCUUUUCAGAAGCAGAGACGCAUCACUAAGGAAGAAGUGGCCGAAACCUUGUAUGCUUUGGCUGGUAUGUUCUCUGAUGCUGAUCAGCAGAAAAUUGUCGACGAAGAAGAUACCCGUCCGACACCACAAGAAGAGACUAGGAAAAUUAGCUCAAAAGCAACUCUUGGAGCUGUUUGUCCUUCAAAUGUGGUGAAAUCAACAGCAGAAGUCGUAUCCCGAACAUUAAAAGCUCGACAACCCAACCUUUUUUUUCUCUAGCAAGCAGGCGGCGAAGUAAAAGUUUUUCUCAUGUCUUUUAGAAUUUAGCUAUUUUGUUCUUACUGGCUCACUUAUUUAUAUUGCAGAUCAUUAGUAUCAAUAAUUGACAUGAAUCAAAGUGGUGAACAGGAAUUUCACUUGGAUCAUACCAGAAUUGCUGCUGAAUCGAACAAGUCGUGGAAGAGGUGUUUAUCGCAUGUUUACAUAAGUCGUCUUAUCAAAGUCUUGCAAAUAUCAGACAGAAAAGGAUGGCCUAUUCAACCAGCAGCUUUUCAAAAUGCAGACAACCAGAUUCUGAGAACAAGAAACAGCAAUACCUAUUUUAGUGCCAUCGACUUAGUAGCUGCUGAAAAGGAUUCAUCUGAAACCCGUAUAGGUAUCCUUCUGAGCAAGAGGCCUAUCCAGGAUCAGCAGAUGGCUUCUGAAACCUCUGCAAAGCAGGUUGGCUCUGUAUGAGAAUGCAGGGAUACGACUUUUUAUGUUUGGGGACGGAGCUUUGUGGUUUGGACACCGGUGAGAAUGCAAAGGCAGCAGGAUGUUUUCUCAAGCCUCCUAAACAGUACCACAUGGCAUACACACAAAACCAGUCCAAUGUGCUUUGUUCACAGCCCCUGUAUGGUUAUUCUUCGUCUUCGCACAGUCUUAAUUUAGCUUCCACAGCACAACAGGUGGUGCAGCUCUCUCAGUAUCAUAGCAGCAGAACAGGACAGCAGCAGAAGUGGCCGGCUCGGCUUUAUAACACGAGAGAAGGUGGUGCGCCAUGCCUUCCUCUCAACUGGAGAAAUGAAACCGUGCUGAACUCUCUGUUCCCACAUCUGCAACAACUCUCACCUUCAAAACAGCAGGUUAUGGCUAUCAACACGACGUCAGCUCCCAAUAGACAUAGCAACCUGCCUUUCGGAUUCGAGAGAAACAGAACCUUAUUCCAUCCUGAAAAUAUGGCCUGCAACCACCACCUUUGACAUGGAUAAAAGACUGCCAAAAAUAUCAUCAUUUGUUUAUUACGUAUUUCUCUUUUUUUUGGUUAAAAUCUACAGAACUUGAGUCAUUGAACUAUUCUGCAGCAAACUGCUAUAGGAUUUGUACUACUUAAUAUAAAUUUAGUUAAUGAGUUAAUGAUAAGUGACAACAUUUACAUGAAAA
Molecule: long non-coding RNA, 2522 nt
Organism: Salvia splendens (bonfire salvia)
Lineage: Eukaryota; Viridiplantae; Streptophyta; Magnoliopsida; Lamiales; Lamiaceae
Exons: 5
Source: RefSeq, a predicted model, not a curated record